Molecule: ribosomal RNA, 301 nt
Filed under: uncultured bacterium
Lineage: Bacteria
Description: partial 16S ribosomal RNA
Rfam family: Bacterial small subunit ribosomal RNA
Source: RNAcentral
CAGUAGCCGCGGUAAAACGUAGGUGGCAAGCGUUGUCCGGAAUUAUUGGGCGUAAAGGGCUCGCAGGCGGUUUCUUAAGUCUGAUGUGAAAGCCCCCGGCUCAACCGGGGAGGGUCAUUGGAAACUGGGAAACUUGAGUGCAGAAGAGGAGAGUGGAAUUCCACGUGUAGCGGUGAAAUGCGUAGAGAUGUGGAGGAACACCAGUGGCGAAGGCGACUCUCUGGUCUGUAACUGACGCUGAGGAGCGAAGGCGUGGGGAGCGAACAGGAUUAGAUACCCGUGUAGUCCCUGUCUCUUAUAU